AGAGUUUGAUCAUGGCUCAGGAUGAACGCUAGCGGUAGGCUUAACACAUGCAAGUCGCGGGGUAACAUUGGAGCUUGCUUCAGAUGACGACCGGCGCACGGGUGCGUAACGCGUAUAUAACCUGCCUUAUACAGGAGGAUAGCCCCGAGAAAUUGGGAUUAAUACUCCAUGGUAUUUUGAUGUGGCAUCACAUUAAGAUUAAAACUCCGGUGGUAUAAGAUGGAUAUGCGUAUGAUUAGCUAGAUGGUGAGGUAGAGGCUCACCAUGGCGACGAUCAUUAGGGGUCCUGAGAGGGUGAUCCCCCACACUGGUACUGAGACACGGACCAGACUCCUACGGGAGGCAGCAGUGAGGAAUAUUGGUCAAUGGGCGCAAGCCUGAACCAGCCAUACCGCGUGAAGGAUGAAGAUUCUAUGGAUUGUAAACUUCUUUUAUAUACGAGGAAUAAGGCUCACGAGUGGGUUGAUGACAGUAGUAUAUGAAUAAGGACCGGCUAACUCCGUGCCAGCAGCCGCGGUAAUACGGAGGGUCCAAGCGUUAUCCGGAUUUAUUGGGUUUAAAGGGUCCGUAGGCGGGCUAAUAAGUCAGUGGUGAAAUCCUACAGCUCAACUGUAGAACUGCCAUUGAAACUGUUAGUCUUGAAUUAUUUUGAAGUUGGCGGAAUGAGUAGUGUAGCGGUGAAAUGCAUAGAUAUUACUCAGAACACC
This 707-nucleotide ribosomal RNA is filed under the name uncultured bacterium. RNAcentral describes it as "bacterial SSU rRNA". It matches the Rfam family "Bacterial small subunit ribosomal RNA", at positions 8 to 710 of the family's 1533-position model. The record is from RNAcentral.